RNAcentral lists this long non-coding RNA (24192 nucleotides) under Ananas comosus (pineapple). Its description in RNAcentral is "long non-coding RNA (ACOM_LNC021778)". The record is from RNAcentral. Lineage: Eukaryota; Viridiplantae; Streptophyta; Magnoliopsida; Poales; Bromeliaceae.
AAAAUCUAAGUGGUAUACUGGUAUAUGGAGGUGUUAAAUUAAUUGGGUUAAUUUCAUAUAGAUUCCUGCAAACGUAGCAAAUUAUAAAUAUAUCCCUAUCAAGUUCAACUUUUAUAUAUUGUCGCUACAAAAUUUCUAAUAUUUUCAAAUAUGUCUCCAUGAUUUAUUAUCGUUAAAAUAUUAUCUACUUUAUAAAUAAAAUAAUUUUUUUGCUAUCACAAAUAUGUCCUUUCAAAAAUCUCAACGGUUAAUUAAAUAGGAGUAAAAAUGUCAAUUCAUCUCAUUAACUAACUAGGAUUAAGUCUUUAACUAUAGUUAACUAAAUUUUUCUAAUGACAAUGACAUAUUUGAAAAUAUCAGAACUUUUGUAAAAAUAAUAAAUAAAAAUUGAACUAUAUAGAAAUAUAUUUGUAAUUUAUUAUGUUUGUAGGGAUUUAUAUGAAAUUAACGCUAAAUUAAUUGUUGGAGGUGGUCACAUGCCACUACUUUUUGGUCAUUUAUUAGCAAUAGGAUAAGGAUUCCAAGAUCAUAAAGGUCGAUGGAGAUUGUUUAUAUUUAUAUAUUUAACUUUAGUUAACAAAAUUACCAAACUAUUCAAUGAUGUAAUUGAACAUAGCUACCUAAAAUUGGAUAAUAAAAUAGUUUUUAGGUGUUGUGGAUAAUAUAUGCUAGAGAAACGCCAAUCAAUUUUGUAUUUGGCCGCAAGUCGAUAAACUUUCUGAGAUUUGAAUGCCGGCCCAUUAUCUGAGAUUACACGAUUCGAAAUUCUGAACCUGUAAAUGAUGUGAUGUUCAAAGAAGCUAACAAUAUUAUCAACUUUGACUUCUGUUAACGAUAUGGAGAAGUUGAAAAAAUGAUGGAGAAGUGGAGUGGUGGAGAAAAUGGUGGAGAAGUAUGGAGAAGUGAAGAAAAUGGUGGAGAAGUGGAGUGAGUGAUGGAGAAGGGCGGGAAUGGUGAGAAAGUGGAGGGAAUGGUCGAGAGAGUGGUAGAAAUGGAGGGAAAAGUAGGAGAUAGUGGAGGAGUGAAUUCAGGGAAGUGAUCUUUUCUUUUCUUUUUUUUCUUUUUUUUUUGUGUUAACAGGUGUUAUUACAAGUACCUAACUUUUAAUGUAAAAAUAAAAAUAUAUACCACUAAUCUAAACUUUUAAGUCAUUUGAUAGCAACUACCAAAUAUUUAGGUAAUUUAUUUUUCCAAUCAAGCAUUUUAUUUUUGUUUUUGUUCGCCAAAACUAUUGAGCGCAAUCGGCGCAUUUGUACAUUUGUAUACCGCGUAUUUAUUUAUCAGUCAUUCAUUUUAUCAGAUUGUUUGGGCUUCAUCAUUUACUGAAUUGUGAUUAUUUUAGUUGUGAACCAAGCUACUGAAUUAACAUUAUAAAAAAAAUAUAUUUUUUUAGAAAAAGGAAUACAUGCAAAUAUCUGAAUGCAUUGGAGAAGGAAAAGCAAAGUAUUUGAAAGAUCAAAUAAUAAAAUUAAAGUUUUAAAAAUUGAAUAGUUAUUUUUACGGAUUAAUUUUAUACAGAUCCCUACAAAUAUAGUGAAUGACAAAUAUAAUCCUAUAAAGUUUAAUUUUUAUAUAUUGUUCCUACAAAAAUCCCGAUGUUAUUAAAUAUGUCCUUGCCGUUAAAAUUUAUUAGAAAAAUUUAGUUAACCAUAGAUUAAAUAUUUAACCCUAAUUAAUUUUUUGACAUUUUUAUCCCUCUUAUAUAUUAUACUGUUAUGACUUUUGGAUAGACAUAUUUGUGAUGACCAAAUUGAAAAAAUAAAUAGUUCUUUAAUUGUUUUCUAAUGAUAACAAAUUAUAAGGACAUAUUUAAAAACAUCGAAACUUUUACAUCGACGAUAUAUGUAUUCACUGUAUUUACAGAGACCUGAAUGGAAUUAAUUUUAUUUUUAAAUAAUUCAAAUUUAGUCCGCGCUACACAUUGGCACCAAUUUUUUAUUUUUAUAUUUUUAAUCUUAGUAAAAACCAGCUUGUCUCACACGUGUCAAUCCACUCACAAGCACGAGGAAGAACACGCCAACCACGUGCGAAUCCGCCAAAAUUAUUGGACGAUUUCUUUUCUUUCUUUCUUUAUUUAUUUUAUUUAUUAUUCGUCCUCCCCAAAUUCCCUUGAUAUAUAUCUAUCGCUCUCCGUGCCACGUCCGCACCAAACUCUUUUUCCUCCAAAAAGUUUAAAGCAUGAAUUAAAUAAAGGGAAAACUUCAGAAAACCCCCCUGUGGUUUCGUAGCUGCUCAUUUUGCCCCCCUGUGAUUUUGUUUUUUUCUUUUUCUUAUCAAUUUCAUUAUUUUUUUUCUUAAAUCAGUAAUAAAGUUAAAAUUAAAGGGUACUAAAGUGAAUAUUUGAUAAAUCUAGAUGUAUAUCUGAAGUUUUUUGUAUAUAAUUUAACGAAAUAUUAACGAAAAAGCUACCGAAAAAAUAAAAACGAAACACAGGGAGGCAAAUUGAUACACUUUAAACCACAGGGGGGCAAAGUGAGAAACUACGAAACCACAGGGAGGGUUUUUGAAGUUUUUCCUUAAAUAAAUAAUGAUAUAUGGCCCAUAUAAUAAUAAUAUAAUAUUUUAAUUAAUUAUUUUAAAGAUUAAUUUUAUACAAGUUUAUGUAAAUAUAGUAAAUAAUAAAUAUAUUUCUACACAGUUCAAUUUGCAUAUAUUGUUUCUACAAAAAUUAUGAUAUUUUUCUGUUAGAAAAAAUUAGUUUAUCAUGGAUAAAAUAUUUAACCCUAGUUAGUUGAUGAGCUGAAUUAAUUAUUUUACCCCUUUUUAAUUAACAGUUAAAAUUUUUAGAGGAAUAUAUUUGUGAUGGUAAAAAUAUUAUUUUAGUUGUAAAAUAAACAGUACUUUAACGAUAACAAAUCAGAGAAAUAUAUUUGAAAAUAUAAAAUUUUUAUAGAAACAACAUAUAAAAAUUAAAUUUUGUAAAAAUAUAUUUAUAAUUUAUUAUAUUUAAAGAAAUAUGUAUGAAAUUAACGCUUUUAAUAAAUAGUUUGUAUUAUGUUACAGGGGAGUCAAAUCAGUAACAAAUUUUUAUUAGGGGAAUAAUUUAGGGUACGUUUUAGAGUUCGCGUAGAACCGCUCUUCCCCUGCCUCGGGUCCUCACUCCUCAGAGGCGCGGGUUCGCACAUCCCAACCGAACCCGAUUCCUGCUGCGUACCCGAAACGUACCAACAAGUCGGGUGGACCCCACCCUCCCUGGUUAUCCCGUCGCGGCGUGCUGUGGGUACGGGGUGCGGUGCGGGCCCCACCACCCACCACUCAUCGUCAAAGAGUAUUCGGUGGACCUGGUGUUCAAUAGACCGGUUCUUCCAAAAAUUCAACCCAAGGGGCAUUUAGAAUCCAAAUCCAAAUUUCAACCAUUAUUUAUUUAUGCUUUCUAGUUCCUUAAAAUUUACAAAAAAAAUCAAAUCAUAAAAAAUAUAAGCUUCUAUUGAUCUCAGUUGCCGAGCUAAAGAUUGGAGAUUGGAUCUGCUGUGUAUGAUACACUUGACUCUUAAUUUUUUAAAAAAUUACUAGUAAAUUUAUAUAUAAAAAAUUUUCAAAAUGAAAGGCCUAUCAAAAAAAUACAAAAAAAAAUCAUUUGAUACAUUAAAAGAAAUUAUCAAUUCUCUGAGUUUACUAUCUAACCUUAUGUUUUUUUUUUGGGUUAGAUAAAUUUAUAAAAAAAUUAUCAAUUUUCUUUUGAAAAGUAAUGUUUUAAUUAAUUAAUAACCUCUAUUAAAUCACAAAAUUUCUGUAUUAUAUUGUGCCAUUUUUCAUCAAAAAUAAAUGUACUAAACUAGAAAAAUAUUAAUUUUUAUUAAUUAAUUAAUUAAAGGGCAAAAUAGUGUCCCUCUCCAAGUGACGUGGUGGACCGGGCUCACAGAAUCUGUCCCCUUUACCAAUCCUUUUCGGAGUGCUCGUUUUCUUUCUAAAGUCCUAAUCCGGAAACUUGGAAUGGGGAAACGCCUCCGUAAAAACUAUAAUUGCAGAGGGGAAACGCGUUUCCCCAACACACAAUCAAUCACCCGCGCCGAGCUCCCUCGUUGCGACGCUACCCAUUCCCAACCCUUCUACGACACGAUAUUAGGGUUUCGUCGCCGGCCCCUUCGCGCGAUCGAUCUCGGAGAGUGGAUUCGGAGGAGGUACUGGGCGAUUUGUUCUCUUCAAUUUCGUUCCUUCUUAGGGUUUCCCUUUUUCUCUGCGAUUGUUUGUUGCUGUUGAUGAUGGUGUAUUGCGGAGAGGGUCGGUUUUGGAGACGUGACGUGAAUUGCUUUGACCUGGUUUUCGUUUGAUUCCGGUGAGUAUAUUCCCUAUUUUAUGAUUGGAGGCUGCUUAUUUUUUCCUUAUUUUUCGGUGACAAAAGGAGAAUUUUUGCUUUGUUGGGAACUAUAUGCUUCGGAUUUCGAGUUUUACUUUUGGAAGUCAUUAUCUGUUAUGAAUAAAAAUGGGUUUCUACAGUCAAUUUGGUGUUUUAGUAAUCAGUUUUUAGAGCCUUAAUAUUUUUUUGAAGGAUUGCUUCUCAAAGGAGCAGCUCGUGACAAAAAGUUGGAAUUUUUUUUUUCCCAUUUUAUGGUGAAUAAUUUGGUUUUCUGAUGAAUUUUUUUUCAUAUUACCUAAUUUGGUUGUAUGAUUCCUUCCUGUUUGCAUAAUUGAAUGGUUUUUUUCUUUCACAAAAUUCACACCUCAAUCUGGUUGUCCUAUUUUAUUUGUACUAGUCCAUCAAGUUGAUCUCUUUUUUUUUUUAAUGCUAGUUGCAAUUUAAUAAUAGGUUGAUGCCACGAAAGCUUCUGAUGCAUGAAUUCAAUGGUGCUUACUUCUUUUUCGUGGUGAUUUUAGGUUUACUUCCUCCUAAUUGAGGUUAUUGAGUUCCAUAGCAAGAAAGAUGAGAUAUUUGGCUCGAUCUGUUUGGCAACUUCGGCAUCUAUCGAGGGUUUUGGGCGCAGAAAUCUCUUCGAAGGGAUUGGAGAGAGGAUGGAUCGCUCCAGUUUGGAUUAGUUCAGUUUCCCGUUCGUUAAAUGGCUCGUUUCAUUAUAGAGAAAUCACUGGAUAUAUGAAUCAGGCCGUGGUCUUCAUGAGGACUCUCUCCACAUCUGCAGCAAAUGAUGCAACAGCAGGUUUUUUUUUUUUUAUUUUAAUGGUGCUUUUGUUAUCUUAAUGGUCAUUUUUGGUUUACUGUUGAAUAAUUUGCUAUAUUUGAUAUUAUCCCAGCUGCUACAGAUGCGGCAAGAGCCGGUCCGUUAAUGGAAUAUGAAAAAAGAAUCGUAUCAGGGGAACUUGUUGACGGCGAUUGCUUUCAGGUUUUUACCAAAGUUUAGGCCUAGUUGUGGUGUAUUGCUUCCUUGUUUUUUAUAUCCUUUAAGUUACCAAUUUCCCCUUUUUCUUUUACUGAUACUUUCAGCUCGAUACUCUUCGACUACUGCAAACGCUCUACGACCAGCUUGUUGAGCAUGAAGAUGCCUGCCAAUUGGAUAGAUAUAAUUCGUCGAAGAAAUCUGGGAGGUUCGUAACUACAACAACUUCUUGGUGAAGGAGUUUGAAAGCAAGCACUUUAUCUUUAUCAGGUUUUGUGGGACUAAUAUUUGGAUGUGGUUGACAGGAGUAGGUGGCUAUGGUCCCGAUUAAUUCCACAAUCUUCAUAUGCACCAGUGAGAGGGCUAUACCUUUAUGGAGGAGUAGGGACAGGGAAAACAAUGCUCAUGGAUUUGUUUUACGAACAAUUGUAAGUGGGUUUUGUUCUGCUGGGACUUAAAGAAUGGAGUCGUGCUGGUUCUUGUUUAUCUAUUCAACUAUUUCUCUAGAAUUUGCGAUGCACUAAGUAAUGGUUCUUGCUUAGCCAUUUGCAUAGUUCUCUGAAAUAUGCAAUGCAACUGUGAACAUUUGUGUCUUGCUGGUUAAUUCGUCGUUAUGUCCUAUACGAUACUUAACUUUGUAAUGUUAAUAAAAGUGUUCUUGCUUCUCCAUUUGCAUGGUUCUAUGAAAUUUGCAAUGCAACUGUGAACAUUUGUGCCACACUGGUUUAUCCAUGGUUAUGUUCUCGGUAAUGCUAAUAUGAGUUAUUAACAAACCUAGUAGCACAAAUUUUCAGUCACAUGAAACUUAAUUUGAUGUAAAUUUGUUAGGAAGUGUUAAUCCAAACAGUCUGUUAUCUUCUUCUCUAUGUAGGCCAUCUAAUUGGAGGAAAAAACGAAUUCAUUUCCAUGAUUUUAUGUUGAAUGUACACAGCCGUCUCCAGGUAUGAUUAGGCGCAUGUUUGACCUGCUGAAAUAGUUUAUCGAGAUCCCAGAUCUCCAUAUUUUUCCUCUCCCUCUUCCUGAAGAUGUUAUUUUUGAAAACUCUCUAAUAUGCUUCUUGCGCAUUUUUUGGCCCACAACUCUGGAUUUCUAGAAGCAUAAAGGGUUAGCAGAUCCACUUGAGGUUGUUGCUGCCGAAAUAUCAGAUGAGUCCAUUCUAUUAUGUCUUGAUGAGUUUAUGGUACGUAUGUGGUACAACAGUUGGUCGCCCUUUUCUUUUACUAUCUCUUAUUAACUUUCAUUAUUGGUGUAUCGGUAAUUGGAAAUCCAUAUUUAACAGGUGACUGAUGUUGCCGAUGCUCUGAUAUUGAACCGGCUUUUUCGACAUCUAUUUAACAAAGGCGUCGUAUGUAUAUAUCAGUACUCUUAUGUUCUUCUUUUUUUUUUCUUUUUCCCUUUCCCCUUCAAGUUUGUAUGCUUCUUUAUUUUGUGCCCAAAAACUGUAUUAGCUUUUCUUUUUUCUUUGCUCUUUGUCAAUCCCAUUGGUUUUUGUAUUUAAUAGGUUCUUGUCUCCACUUCAAAUCGUGCUCCAGAUCAACUCUAUGAAGGUGGCUUACAGAGGGACCUUUUUUUGCCUUUCAUUGAAACCUUGAAGGUAUUAUUAACUUGUUUUUAUUUAUGAACCUAUUUAUAUCGGGCUUUCAUAUAUACCGUAUCCCUGCAAAAUUAUGUCCCCAUGAAUUUUCAAGCGUACACCUUAAAUAUACAGUUUCAUACAAAACUACCCUUAUCUUUAAAUGGAGUGGUGUCAUUCAAUUCCAGGGAGAAGUUGGCUUUUGAAAAGAGCACAAAGUAAGAAAUUACGUUCUUGAAGGACGUAGUAAGAUUCAGAUUUUGCAGGGAAGCAUAAGUCAAUUUUGCAGGGAUGUAUGUGUAAAUGUCUCUUACUUAUCUCUCCUUGAGAAAUAAAUGAAAAUAUGUUGGAACUGCGAAUGCAGGAAAGGUGUAUAGCUCAUGCAAUUGGGUCUUCCACAGACUAUCGGAAAAUGGGUUCUGUAAGUUUAUUACCUUCUCCAUUAUAAGACCUGCUGCUUAACAGUAAAAUUUGCACAAAAGUUAUGACUAUUACUAACAUUUCUUUUACAUAACAUUGCUGCAGGCGGAGCAAGGUCUAUAUCUUGUUGGAAAUCAAUAUGGCCCACUCCUUAAGCAGAAAUUCCAUUCCUUAAUAGGGCAGGAGAAACCUCGGCCUCAAGUUGUCGAAGUUGUAAUGGGACGAAAAUUGCAGGUUUUUUAAUAUUUGAGUUACUGAAGGGCAUGCAUAAACGUUUGAGCAGUUUCCAGCCUAUAAUUAGUGAACCUUAUUCUUCUCUCUUUUUUUCUUUUUUUUUUUAUUUUUAUUUUGAAACCUUAGGUCCCACUAGGAGCAAAUGGAUGUGCUUAUUUUCCUUUUGAAGAGCUUUGUGACAGGCCUUUAGGGGCAGCGGAUUACUUCGGCUUGUUCAGUGAGUUCUUAUCUCUUCUUUUUGUGAUUCUGUGUUGAGAAGUUUUAGUCUUUAGGAAAUCACAGAAUUUGUUGUCGUGAUGGAUAUCACAAUUGUUGUGCAGAAAAAUUUCAUACAUUGGCACUCGAAGGCGUACCGAAGUUUGGGCUUCACAACCGAACCGCAGCUUAUCGGUUUGUCACUUUGGUUGAUGUAUGUCUUAAUCUUUAUUUUCCCUCCAGUUUUAUAUAUGAAUUUUAUGAAGAAAACUGGUAAUGUCUUGCUUAAAUCAGCUUUUGUAGUUUUGUCAUAAUUGUCAGCGACUUUCACAUUUUUAGAUUAACUGUCAAAUUUUUAGAUUUUUGCCCACUUGGGGACACUCAAUAGACACUUAAAAUCCGUGAAAGCUUUUCAUUCCAAAUUAAAGUUGCAUAAAAGUAGAAACUACUUGUACAAAUUAUAAUCCUUAGUAAUUUUUUAUAUGUAGAUUCUGCACUUGCAUUAACUACUCAUAUACAUUAGCUAAUCACAUACGCUAUCCUCGUCUCGUAGUUUUCAAGAUUUUCCAAUUUUUUCGAGGCUUAAGAUGCACUUCAGCGCAGAGAAAUUCUAAUGCAAAGUCCAAAUUUUCACAGGUGAUGUAUGAGAACAGGGCCAGAUUGUUGUGCACGGCCGAAACGCCUCCAGUUGAGUUAUUUGAGAGGAUCGUAACAGUGGCUGAUGCCCUAAAAGUUUCUCCUCGAUCUUCACGAGCGCCGAAGGGAGAUGACCCCGACCUGUGUGUCGACAACCAGCUAGGGUUCGCCAAAGAUCGCACCAUUAGUAGGUCUGUUGCUUACAUCGAACAAAAUUACCUAUGAUGUGUGGGAUCAUUGUCGAGUGAAGAAAUUUAUUUCUUUUGAUUCAUUGGAAAUUAUUUUAUCAACUAUCAAAAGUUGCCUUAAAAGGUCUCUUAGCAUUACUUUUUCUUUGUUUUUGGGAAUUGUAGGUUAACGGAGAUGAACAGCAAAGAGUAUUUAGAACAGCAUGAGGCCAACUUGCACAGGUCCUCCGAAGAAACGCACGACAAUGGUGACAUGUUACAAUCUCGACAACUCGUUUUGGACUAACAUUUUUUCUGAAUCAGACCGGCGCAGUCGAUUCCGUAAUUAUUUUUCACCAAAUAAUAGAACACAGGUUUCAAGUGAGAGCCUUGAUCCUGUGCACCUUGUAAAUCUUGUGUGGGGGUAUGAAGAUGCCGAAUCUGAUAUUAUUCCAAUAAACAAGAUGAUUCAAUCUUGAAUUUGGUUAUAUGUGUAUUGUCGGACUCAAAAGCGUCGAUUCGGGGACUGUAGAACAGCUUCAACUUCUUGCCUUUCUGCAGAGAACAAAGCUAAAGUUCGAUUCUUGCAGAUCAUUUCUAUGAAGAGGGGUAUACCCAAAUAUAGAAUUUCUUGUCGCAUAUCAUUAUGUUUUCAUUUUUCAUUUAAGAGAAUUCAUAGAGGAUUUUUCUGUGCUGUAGAUUUCUUGGUUAUUGAUGUAGCUAAUGCUAUGACUUAUCGCAACAGUAUGGUUCUCUUUUGUGAUGGAGUGUUAAGAGUUUAAUUUUGCGUAAUAAUACAUUUAGGUCCCGUUCAUUCCGCAACGUAAAAAAUUUUUGAUGAAGGAUUAUGUUUUUACAAAUUAUUAUGCUAGAAUUAAAUUCCAAUGUUGUAUGAAUAUUUUUAUUUAGUUCAUAUUAUUAGACAAUCUGACAUUAUACAAUUUCUAUGCUUGGUUCAGCAUGGGAAUAACUGAGACAUUUGCACCUAAUGAUCCCAUUACAGUAUAUCUUUAUUCUAACUGUAUCAAUCAUUUUCAGCUUUCCAGCUCAGCAAAAAAUUCAAAAUUAUAUAUUUGCCCUGCUCAAUUACUCUCUUGAAGCAAAGAAGAGAUCGAAGUGCAAUUAUAUAUUUCCAGUAGCUCAUCAUUGCCCCUCAAUACUCAUUAACACGCGAAAAGAAUCAAAAUUUGAACAGUAAUGACUCUGCAUGUCAAUACAGCGAUAUUAUGCAAUUUCCUGAAACAUUUGAACCUUUUAGACCCCAAAAGAAAACAGUGGAUUUGGAUUCAUAAUACGCUCGCAAGAGACUUCGCAAGCUCAAAAAAGUACAACAGCUGCGUAAGGAGAAUUCAUAUUUUCGAUCCAAUUGAAUAUCUCUACGACUAUGUUAGAAGAACAAAAGCUGUUGCGUCAAAAUAAAGACUACCGAAACAGCUCCACGGGGUGGAUACGGCCAGAGUAGAAAUCGAGCAAUAUCAAAGCAGCAGCAGCUACUUUUUUUUCCUCCUUGAUGUAAUCUCAAAUGCCCAAGCUUUACCCACAUCUGUUUGAAACUUUCCUGCAAAGCAACAGAACAUCAGCACAAACUGUUCAGAGCCAUGUCAUGAACCAUGUCCCGUGUUUAUGUGCCAUAUAGAACACCUAGAUCUUAAAUGAACUAGAUGAAUUUGGCUCCAAGUUUAAGGCCAGAUAGACUUGCCAGAGAUUUCGCAAUGAAAGAGACAAGACAAGGAAUUUUUUGUUCGAGUUGAACUGGGGGUGAGCUUUUCAGAGUUUGUAGAAAACAAUGAUAUGAAGCUAAAAGAGAAUUGAAGUGGUAGAAGAUUGGCAAAAUUGGGUCAUAGGAACCAGCACAAGGCUUAUAUAUACCAUACCUGCUGUCGACUGGAAGAAUUCUUCUAAAUCAAUUCCUUGCUCUGCAUAAGAAAAUAAAGAAAAACUGUUGCAAACUAAAACCAUGAUACGACCUUGUCUCGAUAUAAAUACUCCAACAACAUAAUAAAAACACAGAGAUAUUGCAAACUUUGUAGGAUAGGUGAAGCAUUUUUGAUAUUGCGAUUCAGUGUGCUCCAUUGCAGAAAAACCACAUUGUGGUCAACCUAAUAAAAUGUAUAAAAAGUUCGAAAAAUUUGAGAACAGGUAAGCUCCCCAAACUUUAAAAACCAUUUCAUAAAAUAUUUAACUACGAUGGCAGAACAAAUAAGCAAAUCCGUCUAUUUCACUUUUAUGCAUAUCUUUACUCUUCAUACCGAUAAACUGCAAUUAUUAUUGCUAUUAAUGUAAACCAGAAUGCUUGUAGGAGUAAAAUAGUCAGAUCAACUGCGGGUGGGUGGGAGUUUGCGAGGUUGGUAAUAACAAUGUAAUAGUACAUCUAACUGUUAGCCACCGAAGCAAUGGUCUAAUGCCUACGCCAAAGCACCCCUUAACUAGGUUGGUGCCUAAGAUAGACAAAAAUAGAAAAUGUAGUAUUGUCAAGCAUUGGAUGAAAAACUUACCAUUUUCAUAUUCCAGUGCUUGAAGUAUCAUCUCAACCUAGAAAACAAAAUAUUAAUUGAAAUACUUUAAGGCUGCCUAAUUAAAGAAAAAACAAAAGAAAAGCAGCAGACGGAUAACCAUGCCAUCAAUUUGCAUGACGACAGCAGAUCAAGCCAUGUCAAGUGCCAUUAUCUACUCAAAGUUUUGCUGGUACGGUAUAGAAUAUUAAAUUUAAAGAUCGCUAAUCAGUUUAUAACAAAUUAUAGUCUACAGAAUAACUCCAAACAAGUAUAAUGAUCAGUACAAAUUGAUACUUUGCAGGAUAGUAGACCACAUAUGUUAACUGUGUAAACACCUAUUGAAAUCUUCUAAGGGAUCCAACAAAUAAGCUUAUAGUUAUCUAUUAAACCAAAAGUUACAGAACUCAAGUUACCUCUUCAAGGUUAUUGUAUAUUACAAAUGACAUACCUUGUCAAAGUCCUUGACAAUCUUUGCCUCCGGCGAAGAAUUCUCCUCAUAUUCCAUCCACAGCUCAUGUAUUUCUUUUGCUGUAGAAGAAUUAGCUGAGGAAAUCAAUAUGUGACGGCAUGACAAUGCUAAAAGAUGAAAAGAUUAAAAUGCACUGCAACAAACUAGCGACACAUUCUGAAGUACAGUUAUAAAACAGCAACUAUGUUGUCUAAAACCUGAAUGUUUGGAAUGUAUUUAGGCAUUUCAAGUUGACAGGCUCAAUAACUCUUCAUCUCUAUAAUUGAAUCAAUCUGAUCAAACUUACCAUGACAAGAUACAAUAGUUUGAGAAAGGAAUAAAUGAACUUGGGUUUCAUUGCAUCUAUUGAAGUCCAAUUAAUGUAUAUACUGUUCUACCUCUGGAUCCUCCGCCGAGUAAGUUGCACAUGUGAUCUAGUGCUUCCUUCUCCAUUCGAUUCUUUUCCAGCUUGGGUACGCCAUCCGACGGAGUGAUAUCACCAACAAUGGCUGCAUAAGCAACAUGUUAUACAAUUUAUAAGAUGAAACAUGAGGCAUAAAAAUAAGCAACAAAUUACGAACUAGACGAAAUAAAAUAAGAUGCGAAUGCAAAACAAGCAUACAUUGAAAGAUGCAAACUUUUCUACUCUACCAAACAAAAAUUUCAUACAAAAGACGAAUGCAGGGAUUUUUAUACAAAAAUGUAUCACAAACUUUGCUUUUCAGAAAAAUAACUAACUAUUUUAUAUUCUAAAAAAAAUUGCAAAUUUAAACAUAAUACCUGCAAACACUCCAAAUUUGCACUCUUAGAAGUGUCAAAUCAGCGGGAAAAAAAAAAUAAAAAAAAAAGUAGCUACACAAUAAAUGGUAAAGAAAAGUAAAAAUUGAUCAUUGCACCUUCCGCAAUAUCGUGCACGAUCGCCAUCUUGAUACACCUACACCAUAAUAUACAACCCCCCAAAAAGAGGAAAAACGAGCACGAGAGAUCAGGAGCUUGCAUUUAGAUUCACAAAAACAGGGAAGUGAGCUGGUAGUUAAGGUCAGCGUUCCCGUACCUGUCGCGAUCGAUCCCGGGCAUGUCGGGGGCGACGAGCGCCAUGACGCCCAUCCGGUACAUGUGAUCGGCUACCGACUCCGGCUCCCGCACCCCCCUCCGCACCCACCCCGCCCUCUUCGUCGUCUGCAACAGCCAAAUCGCCAUUGCCAGAGCUCCAGCUAAGCAACGCGAUCGAGAUACAGAGAUCGAGAGAGAGAUCGAGAGAGAUGAAGGGGACGGAGAAGGAAAAGGAGGAGGAGGAGAUGAUGACCUUGAGGCGGUGGCAGAGGGAGAGGAAGUCGAUGGCGGCGGCGGCGGCGGAGGAGGAGGAGGGGGAGGGGGAGGGGGAAGGGGAGGGGUCGGGUUGGGAGGAGGAAGACGACAUGAGGACCGUGCGAUUGCGGAUCGGACGGUGGGGAUUGAAGCGGGGGGCAAUGGAGGAGGAGAUGAGGGUGUAGGAUUUGGUGUAGAGAGUGAGGGGUCGGCUCCCACCCAUCAUCUUUUUUUCUUUUUUUAAUCUCUCUUUUAUUUAUUUAUUUAUUUAUUUUAGAUUGUUUGUUCCGAGAGGUUCCGCUAAUUUCCACUCGGGUGAAAUACCGAAAAUGCCCCUGCACCAAAGGGCUGUUUUGGUUCUUUGGAAAAUUAUUUGUUGAAAAAAAAUUAUUAAUGGAAAAAUAUUUUUCUUCCCAACAGUUUUUAUUUUUUAAAUAAAAAAUUUAAAAAAUUUCCAAAAAUCCUCGUAACUUAUUUCAGAAUUAUAGUUGUUUUAUUAAAAUAUCUAUAUUUUUUUUGUUUUAUAAUCAGAUUGUAAAAGAAAAUUAUUUUAAUUAGCUUAGUGUAAUAUGUGUAAUCACUAUGAUUUGAUAGUCUUAUAAAAUUAAAAAAAAAAUUACACAUUUUUUUCAUUUCAUGUGACAUAAAUUUUCUUUUAUUUUUUACACUCUCUAAAAAAAAUCAUAAAAUGAAUUGGGUACAUAUGAUGAUAUGAAUAUUUUUUUGUUUUGUGAUUGCAAAAAUUAUGUAUUAAUUAAAUUAAUAUAAUCACUGUAUAUGGUCCACAUGACGUGUUAUUAAUGAUGUUAUUUUUUGUUAUAGAUUUUUGAAGUGGUAAAAGUUAUUAGGCCAAUUUGCAUAAAAAAUUCACUUAUUUUGGGCUUUGAAAAAAUCGGGCCACAUUUUUCAUUUUUUCAGAUUCGGUCCACUUUUUUAGCAAAUUGAUCAAAAUAUUCUUAUACAUUUUUCUCUCUCCUCUUUUUUUCUCUCGUUCUUUUUUUUUCUUUCUCUUCCCAGAGCACGGCAGAGAUAGAGCCGGAGGCGGAGGUUGAGGCGAAGGCAGCCUGCUUCGGUUUUGUCCGACGCAUCCUUACCCUCGCCCGCACAUCCCCCGCCUUCCUCGUCUCUGAUACCGCCGAGGCCGCACUGCGAUUUUUUUUUUUCCUCUUCGACUCCUCCACCGCCUCCGACGACGGCGACUAUCUCACACUCUCUCACCUUUCUCACCCUUUCCCUCUCCUUCCUCCUUCACCUCUUCCGCUGCCUUCGACAACAACACUUCUCUGCCGACAUCGGCGCUGCGGAGGAUUUUUUUUCCUUUCCGACUCUCCUCCACUGUCUCCGAUGACGACGCCUCUCUCACCCUUCCCCGCCAUUCUCGUCCUCUCCCUCUCCCUCCUCCUCUGCUGCCUCCAACGACGAUGUAUUUUCGCCGACGCCGACACCGUGGAGGUCACUUUGGCGGUGCAGCCUCGGAGUGGGGGGUCCUUAGCAGCGUCGUCGCCAGCGCCGUGGUCGUUGGCAGAGAGGGGUGAAAAAAAAAAAUUAUAGAAGAAGCAAGAAAAAAAAAAUAAAGAUAAAAAAUUAUAGAAAAAGAAGGAUGAAGAUGAAAUUGUAUCGUUAACUACAAAAAAAAUUAUAAGUUGCACUACUUAAGAUGUAAACUGCAGUUUUAAAAUAAAAAUUACACUCUUUAAACGAGAUUACACUCUUUGGGAGAUAUUUACACUAUUUCUCCUCUUAUUGCACUCUUUCGGUUGUAAACUGCAUCCAUUAAGAUAAAAGUUACACUCUUUAAACGAAAGUUGCACUCUUUGAGAGAUAUUUACAUUAUUUCUCCUCUUCUUGCACUCUUUGAUAUAUAAACUGCACCCUUUUAAGAGAUAUUUAUACUGUUUCUUCUCUUGUUGCACUUUUUUUCCUCUUGUUGCACUAUUUCUCCUCUUGUUACACUAUUUCUCCUCUUAAAAGGUGCAGUUUAAGAUAAAAACAGUGUAACGAGAGGAGAAAUGGUGCAACAAGAGGAGAAACAGUAUAAAUAUCUCUUAAAAGGGUACAGUUUAAGAUAAAAACAGUGUAACGAUAGGAGAAAUAGUAUAACAAGAGAAGAAACAGUGCAACAAUAGGAGAAACAGUAUAAAUACCUCUUGAAGGAUUGCAGUGUAAGAUAAAAACAGUGUAAUAAGAGAGAAAAUAGUACAACAAGAGGAGAAACAGUGCAACAAGAGGAGAAACAGUAUAAAUACAUCUUGAAGGGUUGCAGUUUACAUCUCAAAGAGUGCAAUAAGAGAAGAAACAGUAUAAAUAUCUCUCAAAGAGUGCAAUUUUCGUUUAAAGAGUGUAACUUUCAUAUUAAUCGAUGCAGUUUACAUUUGAAAGAGUGCAAUAAGAGGAGAAACAGUGUAAAUAUCUUUCCAAUAGUAUAAUUUUCGUUUAAAGAGUGUAAUUUUUAUUUUAAAGCUGCAGUUUACAUCUUAAGAAUGCAAGUUAUAAUUUUUUUUUCAGUUAACGAUACAAUUUCAUCUCCAUCCUUCUUUUUCUAUAAUUCCUUAUCUAUAUUUUUUUUUUCUUACUUCUUUUGUAAUUUUUUUUUGUCAUGCCUCUUUGCCAACGGCCACGGCGACGACGCCGCUAAGGACCCCCCGCUCCGAGGCUGCACCACCGCAGUGACCUCCACGGUGUCAGCGUCGGCGUCGGCGUUCGCGAAGAUGCGUCGUCGUUGGAGGCGGCAAAGGAGGAGGAAGAGGAAGAGGAUGAGAAGGACGGGGAAGGACGAGAGAGGCGUCGUCGUCGGAGACGGUGGAGAAGAGUCGGAGAGAGAGAAAACAAAAAAAAGCCACGGCGUGGCCUCGGCGGGGUAGGAGGCGAGGAAGGUGGGGAGUGUGCGGGCGAGGGUAAAGACGCGCCGGACAAAAUAGGCCGCCUUCGCUCUGUCUCCGCAGCUCUCUAGAAAGAGAAAGAAAAAAAGAACGAGAGAGAAAAAAAGAGGAGAGAGAAAAAUGUAUAAGGGUAUUUUGAUCAGUUUGCUGAAAAAGUGGACCGAAUCUGCAAAAACGAAAAAGGUGGCUCGGUUUUGCAAAAAAACAAAAUAAGUGGAUUUUUUAUGCAAAUUGGCCAAGUUAUUAUUCAAAUAUAGAAUAAAUAAAUUUGAUCACUAAUUUCACUCAAUUUUAAAAAAUAUAAAAUUUUUACAUUUUUUACAUUUUUCUCAUGCACGUGCUCCGCACGUGACCGGCGAACCACGAAAGAGAGAGAAGCAUUCGGGUAUCGAACUCUAAAAUAUGCCCGAUACUCUCUCUCUCUCUCUCUCUCUCUCUCUCUCUCCACCGCUCUCCGACCCCCUUGAAUUAGGGUUUCGCGGAGACGAACCCCUCACCGCCCCACCCACCCUUGCGAAAACCCUAGCGGAUCCCUCGAUCGGGAACGAUGAAGCUCACCGUGAAGACCCUCAAGGGCACCCACUUCGAAAUUCGGGUGCAUCCCACUGAUACCGUGAGCCCUCCUCACCAUCAUCUUCUUCUUCCUCUCUGAUCCCUUCUCCUCGUUCGAUUUGUCUCUCUCUCGAUCUUAUUUGAUCGAUUUGUGUUAUAAAUCUAUUGCAUUGAUGUGUUUGGAUGCAUGCUGGUUGCAUGCUCCGCAAACAAUUGAAACGGAGGAGUUUGAGCAUUGGAUUUCUUCGUUGUUUAUCUGAAGCUAUUAGUUUUUGGUCUAGUGUUAGUUUGUAAAAGUAUGUGUCGGAGUGAACUAGGCAUUACCAGCGUGAUGUUUGUAAUGCUCUUAUGCGACUUCACGGGGUGGAUUAAUGUAGUGGUGGUAGUUCUUUUGAAACAUGGGGUAAACCAGCAUUACAAUUUCUGUUCAAAACUAUUUAGUUUGAGAUGAUGCUACAUAUACGAUAUACAAUUCAGUAGUCUUAAAUAUUCUUACGGUGUUAUACUAUGGAGCAUGUUUAUUUAAACAUGACAAUAUGACAUUUUCAUUUUGAUGUGAAAGUGGGUUCAGCAGGAGCAGUUCUAUGGUUCCUUUGGUGAUGUCUAGUUUGUGAAUAAGGUUUUCUUAAACAGUAAAGUUUAUUCCAUGCUUUCUGAGUUGUAUGAUUCUGAUUCAUAGGCUUGAUUUAAGAGAACAAUUAGAAUAUAUGUAAUCAGUACUCUAUUAUUGAUGCUAUAUGACUUUUGCUAAUAUUAUGAUGUUGUCAUCCUAUAAACUUUCUAAGUUGUUCAAGAGGUCACCACCUUAAUUUUUGUAGGAAUUGUCAACUUUUAUCUUACAUGUACUUAUGCGCUAACUUGCUUCUAGUAGUACUUCCGAUAAAAUUCAACCCCUUUUAUUCUUUUACUCAUUUCGCUUUUUCUCUUGCAGAUAAUGGGUGUGAAGAAAAUUAUCGAAGAGGUACAAGGGAAAGAUAGUUAUCCAUGGGGUCAGCAGCUGUUGAUUCAUAAUGGAAAAGUUUUAAAAGACGAAAGUACUCUGGAAGAGAACAAAGUUAGCGAGGAUGGUUUUCUUGUUGUCAUGCUAAGUAAGGUGCGUCAGUGUAGCUGGAAAUAGGCAGAUUGGCGUUUACGUGAUUAAAAAUGUGUCGGCCUUCCUUAAAUAUUUCAUUCCAUUGAUUCCAAUAGGAAAUGUUCAUAUGUGGCCUGGAUUAGGAAUUUUUAUUUCAUCCUUUUUGUGUGAAUGCAAGGAAAUUGAUUUCUUCCUAUGAAAAAAAUGAAAAUUUAAAUAUUGCUCCCUCCAAAAUAAAUACUAUUAAUGUUUUUGUAUCUCCUCAGAGCAAAACUUCAGGUGCUGGUGGGUCUUCAUCUGCCCAGGUAAAUUCCAUACUACAGAAUUGUAUGAAUUUUUAAUGUCCUUUAGGUAUUAACCAGACAUCUGUGUAAAUAGCCUUCAGCAACUCCUGCUGUGAAACAACCUGCUCCUGCAGAGGCUCCACCACAGGCUCCGUGAGUAUUCUUUCUUUUUAUGUCGCUAAAUUCUCCGAAUGUACUUAUUGUGUCACUAAAUUCUCUGAAUGUACCGACCCUGCUCAUAUUGUUUACUUGUUAAUAAUCCUUUCUGUUAUUUUAUAGGGCGUUGUCGACUGUUGCAACCGGAUCUGAAAGACCAAAUUUGGAGUGCGAUUCUUCUUACUGAAUUAUAUUUGCUUCUACCUGUUAUCACCUUUGUUUUACUUAUAUAACUUUGGUGGGUGCAACCAGAAGAGAAUUGACUGGAAGUAAUGAAAUAAUAACUCUAAUUUCUAAUUUUCAUUAAUCAUUAUUAAGUGAAUGUUGAGUGUCUUGAUAGAAGCAAUUGUGUACAAUGCUCCUUUAGUUAAUUUAGUGAUUCAUCUUUAGGCGUAUGACAAGGGUAUUUGCUAUUGUGUGGUGAUUUCAUGUAGUUAUGCUGAAUUAGGUACUACUUUUUAUGUAGUUAUGCCAACUUGGGUACUACUUUUUAUGUAGUAAUGCCAACUUAGGUACUACAUUUUUAUAGUGGUGAUCUUUUUUCUCGUGUACUCUGGGAUGAGUUAGUUGUAUAAAUUGGGUCCUGGACAUGCAAGCUGCUUGGUUACAUUGAAAAAUCUUAAGACAAAGAGCUGGCUGAAUGACUUUUUUCCCCCUUCUUUGCAGUGUUUCUGCUGAUGCAUAUGGGCAAGCUGCAUCUAAUCUAGUUGCUGGAAGUAAUAUCGAACAGACGAUUAACCAGUUGAUGGAGAUGGGUGGUGGUAAUUGGGAUAGAGAUACGGUUCUACGAGCACUUCGGGCUGCUUAUAAUAAUCCAGAGCGUGCUGUGGAAUAUUUAUAUUCUGUAUGUUACUCUCUUGAGUAAAAUUUAUAACUUAGCCUGCUGCCUGUUUAGCCUGGAGCCCGUAAUAGCUUCUCUCCUCUGAGAAGCAACAGUGAGGUGGUAGAGCUUUUGCUGUGGCAAGAAGCUGAAAUGGACUUGUAGGCCCAGGUGCAGAAACUCCAACGUGAUGAUUCUUGAUCUGCUCCAGCGAAAAACUGUUGGCAGUUUUUUAACGAAAAAAGUUGUUAGUGUUCUUCAAAUAGUAUUCAAACAUCACGUCUGCAGCAGCUCUAGACAAUUUGAAACUGAGAUAUUAGUAGCCAAUGAUUUUCCUUUAUGUAUGUUAGGGUAUCCCAGCAUCAGCAGACAUCGCUGUUCCAGCUGCUGCUUUCCCAUCAUCUGAGGCUACUGGUCAAGGGACCAAUACAACUGAAACUGCUUCUACCGGGGCGGCACCCCUCUCUGGAGUGCCCAAUUCCUCUCCUUUGAAUAUGUUUCCUCAGGUUUAGUGCUUUCCUUGAACAAGUUUCUAUCUUCUUUUUUGUUAUCUCUAAUGUGUACUAUUAUAACUGUAAGCAGGGGAACCCAAAUGCCGGUGUCGGUGCUGGAGGUGGAUCUCUUGAUUUUCUUAGAACUAACCAGCAGGUGUGUAAUAAUUAACAUGCCAAACUAUCUGGUUUCUCGUAGAGUUUUUAUUGGUAGUGGUGUUAUUAUGUUAUAGGUAUUUUAUAUUUCCAUAUCUUUGAGUUCAUCUCGCUCUCUCUCCCCUAAUUGCUUACUUCUUUUUAUCUUGAUGAUGCUUUAGUUUCUCGCCUUGCGAGCAAUGGUCCAAGCAAACCCACAAAUAUUACAGGUCUGUCACUCUUGUUAUUUCAAAGGAUGUUCUAAUAUGCUUUUGCAAUUUUUUUUUUUUUUACUCUUUAUACGUUAUUAUUGCAGCCAAUGCUCCAAGAGUUGAGCAAGCAAAAUCCUCAACUAUUGAGACUGAUUCAGGAGCAUCAUGCUGAAUUUCUUCAGCUGAUAAAUGAACCUAUUGAAGGUGUUGAAGGGUGAGUCUCUUCAUGCGUGAGCACCAACAAUUUCUCAAUAACUGAGGGAACAUCUGGUAGUAGAAGGUUUUUGUGUGGUCUUUGGGUCACAGUUUAUAGAUGCCAUUACAGGUUGAAACUUGAAACAGUUUACUGGACUUAGUGCCCAAAGUAUUUCUAGCAACUGGUGGCUGUUAUUAUAACUAAUGUAUAUGAUAUCAGGAUUAGCUCUGCUCGUCUACAGUUUAGGCUUGUAAGUAGUUAAAUGAAAGUGAAUAAUGGUAUUGAACCAAAGGGCAUGGCAUAUUUUAAGAUUCUUUUGCUGAUACCAUUGUGAACUUUGUUGAUUCUGCAUAAAGGGUUUCUUACAAAUUAUAUUUGCAUGCAGUCAAAGUUAAUAACGCUCAGCACAUAUAUACCAGGUUUUGUGUAGUUGUAUCACGUAGUCCACUUAAUCGACAUACAAAACAACUUGUGGUAGACAAUUAGACAUUGGCUUAGAUAAGUUUGUUUACUUUAAAUCCUAGAUAUGUAUUUUUUUUUCCACACUAAGUUUUGUACCACUUCUUGAGUGUUUUCCUAACAUAGUAAUUUUCAGGGAUCUUUUUGAUCAGCCCGAUCAGGAUGAUAUGCCCCAUUCAAUUAGCGUGACCCCCGAAGAGCAAGAGGCUAUUGGACGAGUAUGUCCAUCCUUUCAUUUUCUCCUCUUAUAUAUCUAGUUAUAUUCUUGCUUUUUCCCUCAUGAAUUUGUGAUAAAUUUCCCAGCUCGAAGCAAUGGGGUUUGACCGUGAGCGUGUGAUUGAGGCAUUCUUAGCCUGUGACAGGAAUGAGCAGUUGGCAGCAAAUUAUCUUUUGGAGCAUGCUGGUGAUGAGGAUUAGAUGAUAUACAACAUAUUUUAUUUAGUAAGCACCUUGUCUUUGCGAUUCAUUAGUUUCUAGCAAUUUCCAUUUGCUUCCUUCAACUCAUAUUCAUACUUUGCUUGCUUUACUUAUACUGAGCAUCCGCAUCAUAGCUAACACAAUAUGUUUAUCUCAACAUGCAGCAAGGAAUAGCCUUGGACCUUCUCGUACUUAUUGAAGAUUUGCUCAAGUAAUUGAAGACACUUUGGGGCAAAUGGUUUAAUGGAGAUCAGAUGGUGUUACAGUUAACUUCUUACUGAGGGUUUCCGAGUUUCGACCCAGUUAUUUGUUAUCUGAAUAUACUGUCUUUGAGAAAGCCUUAACUGGAUACCGGGCCUUGGGCAAAUAAUUGUUCACAAACUAUUCUUUUGAAACUUCUUUAACUUUGUUGUCACAAACUACUGAACAGGUUGUUUUUAGUGCAUUAACUUUGGCCUCUAAGGUAAAGCUAAAGCAGGGUAUAUUUUCUGCUGGCGAGCAACUGUGGCCUUUGAUAUUAAUUAAACCAUUUAGUCUGUUUAUUUUUAAAUUUCGCCUGAUCAUAGUGCAUCUUUAAAUGUUGUUAGCAAUGGAAAUGAGACCAGCACUAUCCCAGUGCUAGAAAAGUUCAUGUAAGGAGCUUGAUAUGGAUCGUUCUAUAUGAUUGGAGUGUUUGAUGCUAAUCAGCUUGAUCCAGGAGGUUGAUAGUUUGCCGUGAAUUAUGCACGUCUGUUAUAACCACGAGUUGCAGAAACAUCAAAUUUAGGCGUUACAUUACAGUUUGUGAGGUGUUGUUCCUAGUUGCUUAGCAUGAUCAUCUGACUGGUUAAGCCGCGCAUCACUGCUGCUGCUGUUUCUAUCAACCCGUUUGGCCCCGAAUCAACCUGCCCGAUUUCAGCCGUACCCUGUUUUUCCACCAAUUUUAAGAAAUCCUUGUUCAGGUUGUCUGCACCCUUUGUGAUAUUGAUGUUAUUAUCAACAUCGAGCCUUCUAUUAUGUUAGUUGGCAUGGUCUGGCACAGUCGGUAUGGUUUCCGUGUCUUUCAUGCUGAUAAGCUUAUGUUAUCCAUGCAGAUCAUGCCGACAUAUGAAAUUGGGCAUGUUUACCAAUCCUUAAUUCAGAGCAUCCUUAAAGAGUGAAGAUGUUAAGUGAUCAAAAUUCAAAUGGAAAUAAAAUGACCGGAGAGGACCUUCAUUGUUGGCAAUAUCAACCUUGGCUGCAAAACUGUUUUCAGCUCCUUCAAUUAAGGUGUAUAUCUGCAUGCUAUUUCAAAAAGAGAAUAGCUUUUAAUACAAAAGGACACGCUAAUACUAAUAGAGGACGUGUAUGUAGACGACAAUUCUAUGUAGAUUACAUUAUAACAAAUAACAAAUAAGGAUACCGUUUCACAACCAGAUCAAAGCACAUAACAGAUUCAAUUCCAUUCCUAUAAAAUCCCAAAAAUGAAAGAAAAACGAUAAUAAGCCAUAUCAAUAUUUUGAACAACUGGUAAAACAGGGAACGAGAUGUUCCUUGGAACAGUUCACUACCCAUAUAGAACUUUCAGUAAACACCCAAUACUUGCACUGUGAUGGCGCAACACAAUAAUGCCUUAUCGAGGCGCAAAGAAUCAAGAAAUCGGGAGAUUCGAGCUUUACGAAUCGCCAUCGUCUAAUAUUUUUCUUGCUAGAAUUCCGACUAGAAGAAUUUCAGCUUCCCCUGGUGUAAAGAAGAUUUUGCUUCACAAAUCGCCCUUUCGGCCCCAGACAACUCCGAACAGGACUUUGUUGGCCCCAGAGUCACCGCAAAGUACAAAUAGAUGGUGCAUAGAAAUGCUAGCACAACGAGCAUUGUUAGAAGGAACUUGUGCCGGUCAAAGAGAGUAGACCAACUGCCUAACUCCUCGCGGCCCAAGAACUGCUUCUUUGAUGACGACGACGAUGAUGAAAAGAAUGUGUUCUGAGAUCUCCUAUGGGGAGAUGAGAGUGAGUCAAGAACCAUGUUAAUCCUGUAACAAAGAUAAAGGCAACAGCUGAAACCACUUCAAGCUGAAACUAGGUACCUCAUUAACUCCAAAUCAUAGCAUUAUGCAUGUUAAGUAGAGCAACUAUAAUGUCCACCUCCGAUGGAACAAAUUAGCCGAUAAUAACUUAUUCAGUAUUGAGAUUUUCUUUUGUGAUUGCACAAAUUUCAAUUCAAGUGCAAAAUCCUCAAGACCGUGAUUUCUUUAGGAUAAUGCAUUUCACGUACGAAGCGAUUAAUCAUAUUCCUAAAGGUUGACAUUCUUUUCAUAUUCUCAUUAAUAAGUUACCACAUGUCCUCUGAGCAAAUAAAAGAGAUAUUCCGAACAAGAUAGUUAAGCAUCCAAACGGGACAAAAAAGAAGACCUCAAUCCAUUAGAACACCUUCGAAUACAUCGCCGUCAUUGUUGACGAACAACCACAUACCACAAAUGAGCUACACAAUUUAGUCUGAUCAUGAACUUUGAGGAUAAAAUUUUCUUCCUACUGAUGAGACCAUACUCGAUCCUACAACUCAUAUGAAAAAGUUUCCCAACAUUUCAUGGGUGAAAACUCAAACACCUCCAACACCUGGUUUGAGAAAUCGAUCUUCAAAAACUACUGCUUUUGCUCCUCCCAAACUACGAAAUGGCGGCAGGAACCUCCACUAGAGGAGUGCUUCUCUGCUGACAUUUUUUGCGCUUUUCACAGCGCAUUUAAGUUUCGAGACAACGCAAGGCCCUAACGUUCGUUGAAACGUCCAUUCAUCAAAACAUCAACAACCGAGGCGUUUUGAUUUGCAUCGUUCGUGGAUCUCGCAACAAGUACAUACGAAAUUGACAUUUCCAACAACAGCAGAAGCAGGUCACAUCAAAUUACACAAAUUUCACCCAAAAAUUCCUACGAACUCGGAUCCGUCCACAAAAGCAAUCAAAAUUUUCAAAUUUCCUCAAGAUCGUGACAAAUUACCCUUAGAUUCACCUACGGAGCGAGGAUUAAACCCUAGAAAACAAAAUUUACAGGAUCUAGAGGUGAGGGCUCUGGGAUUUUUGCACGUACCGAUCGGUGAAGAGAGAGGAGAGAGAUCGGUGGACGAACCCUUGCUUCUCGAACGUUCGUUCGUGCGCGGCACCCCCCUCCCCCCAACUCCCCCUCUCUCCCGAAUUAAAGUCGGAAAAAAUUAAAUAAUUAAUUAAUUCAUUAAACAGGCAUAAAAAAUCCGCCACCGGUUUCAAAAAUGUGUAUUGUUAAUGAGGAUUUAUUUACAAUACAAUAAUAAUAUAAUAUAUGAGUGGUGGAUUUGGGACGGUUAAAGGGACUUUUGCAUAUAUACCCCUCUAAGACUAUGUAAUUACGCACGCUUCCUUAGAAAGGUUAGGUGAAAGUAGUAAAAGAUGCGUGGAGACACGGUCAACUAAAUUGUAGAAUAGUGGAUUCUCUUUAGACAUUGUAAAAGAGAAAAAGAGAAAAAUCUAGAAAACAUAUAAUUUUGAAAAAACUUCAAAAAUCUUCCGUGUGGUUUCGUAAUUUCUCACUUUGCCCUCUUAUGAUUUAAAAUGUAUCAAAUUGCCCCUUGUGGUUUCGUUUUUAUCUUUUCAGUAGCUUUUUCGUUAAUAUUUCAUUAAAUUAUAUACAAAAAACUUCAGAUACCCAUCUAGAUUUAUCAAAUAUUUAUUUUAGUACCUUUACUUUUAACUUUAUCACUAAUUUAAGAAAAAAAAUAAUAAAAUUGAUAAGAAAAAGAGAAAAAAGAAACUAGGGGAAGAUAAAUUGAUACAUUUUAAACCACAAAGG